GUGUCAGCCGCCGCGGUAAUACGUAGGGUGCGAGCGUUAAUCGGAAUUACUGGGCGUAAAGCGUGCGCAGGCGGUUCGUCAAGUCUGAUGUGAAAGCCCCGGGCUCAACCUGGGAAUGGCAUGGGAAACUGACGGGCUGGAGUAUGGCAGAGGGGGGUGGAAUUCCGCGUGUAGCAGUGAAAUGCGUAGAGAUGCGGAGGAACACCGAUGGCGAAGGCAGCCCCCUGGGCCAAUACUGACGCUCAGGCACGAAAGCGUGGGGAGCAAACAGGAUUAGAAACCCCUGUAGUCC
RNAcentral lists this ribosomal RNA (292 nucleotides) under uncultured bacterium. RNAcentral describes it as "partial 16S ribosomal RNA". It matches the Rfam family "Bacterial small subunit ribosomal RNA", at positions 505 to 796 of the family's 1533-position model. The record is from RNAcentral.